GAAGCUUAGGCAGAGUGCCAGUUCCAGUGCAAGAUACAAGAGGACAGUCUUAUUUGUCUUGCAUAAUCUUACCAUGUAUUUUACACCAAAAUCUCACUAAUUGCAUAAAAAAUAAAGAGUUUUCUACUGUAGCAAUCAGUAAACACUGGGGUUAUUUUUCAGUAUAAUGAAAACAGGAACUUAUACCUCAGGAUAAAUAUUUCCCUUGUGCCUCGCUCUUUUUCCAUAAGAACACUGAAGAAAUCAGCACUCCUUGGUAGUUUAUUGAAUUAUUGGCAAGGCUUCUACUCACAGUGUGACCUUCUCUGAGUGGGAACAGUCGUCCUCUUCCCAGUGAUGCAAUCUGAGGGCUUUGCUGUACUUCUCAUGGAGUAACUGGCUUCUAGAACUUCUGAUGGCAGUACAACUCACAGAGUCAGCAAAUCUGAACAUGAAAUAUUGCAGUUCCAGUUAAAAGGAUGUGAAACCCAUCUUACACUAUGCUUGUUGUCUGAUUUCUGUAUGAAUAGUUGGAAGCAGUGCCUCUAGUCAUUACGAGUUGUUGCAUUUUGACUGUACUUUUCCAUUCUCAUCAAACUCACUUCCAUAAGUGUUUAAAUG
Long non-coding RNA from Empidonax traillii (willow flycatcher), 600 nucleotides. RefSeq lists it as uncharacterized. The record is from RefSeq and is a predicted model, not a curated record. The transcript is spliced from 3 exons. Lineage: Eukaryota; Metazoa; Chordata; Aves; Passeriformes; Tyrannidae.